AUCGGUGACGAUAGCGAAGUGGACACACCUGUUCCCAUCUCGAACACAGAAGUUAAGCACUUCAGCGCUGACGAUAGUGUAAGCGAAAAUAAGACGUUGCCGGUU
Non-coding RNA from Clostridium sp. CAG:594, 105 nucleotides. Lineage: Bacteria; Bacillati; Bacillota; Clostridia; Eubacteriales; Clostridiaceae. The record is from Rfam.